RNAcentral lists this transfer RNA (77 nucleotides) under Syntrophobacterales bacterium. RNAcentral describes it as "tRNA-Arg". It matches the Rfam family "tRNA". From Rfam's summary of the family: Transfer RNA (tRNA) molecules are approximately 80 nucleotides in length. Their secondary structure includes four short double-helical elements and three loops (D, anti-codon, and T loops). Further hydrogen bonds mediate the characteristic L-shaped molecular structure. tRNAs have two regions of fundamental functional importance: the anti-codon, which is responsible for specific mRNA codon recognition, and the 3' end, to which the tRNAs corresponding amino acid is attached (by aminoacyl-tRNA synthetases). tRNAs cope with the degeneracy of the genetic code in two manners: having more than one tRNA (with a specific anti-codon) for a particular amino acid; and 'wobble' base-pairing, i.e. permitting non-standard base-pairing at the 3rd anti-codon position. Lineage: Bacteria; Pseudomonadati; Thermodesulfobacteriota; Syntrophobacteria; Syntrophobacterales. The record is from RNAcentral.
GCGCCCAUAGCUCAGCUGGAUAGAGCGUUGGACUACGAAUCCAAAGGCCCAAGGUUCGAAUCCUUGUGGGCGCACCA